UGCCAAAAAUAGGCCACGGGCACAGCCACGCCCAAAAAUCAGCCCCCGAAGGUCGGGGUGCCAAGACCCCCCAGCGGAAAAAUUCCCAAAAAACGGGUGGGCUAUAGCCUUGGUGGGGGGCGAGGGCGAAGUUCGUCCGCCGGACUCGGAAUGGCCCCAGACUUUGCGGGCGGCCUCCGUGUGGCAAAAAUAGGCCACGGGCACAGCCGCGCCCAAAAAUCAGCCCCCGAAGGUCGGGGUGCCAAGACCCCCCCAGCGGAAAAAUGGCCUAAAAACGGGUGGGCUAUAGCCUUGGUGGGGGGCGUGGGCGAAGUUCGUCCGCCGGACUCGGAAUGGCCCCAGACUUUGCGGGCGGCCUCCGUGUGCCAAAAAUAGGCCACGGGCACAGCCGCGACCAAAAAUCAGCCCCCGAAGGUCGGGGUGCCAAGACCCCCCAGCGGAAAAAUGGCCAAAAAACGGGUGGGCUAUAGCCUUCGUGGGGGGCGUGGGCGAAGUUCGUCCGCCGGACUCGUAAUGGCCCCAGACUUUGCGGGCGGCCUCCGUGUGCCAGAAAUAGGCCACGGGCACAGCCGCGCCCAAAAAUCAGCCCCCGAAGGUCGGGGUGCCAAGACCCCCCAGCGGAAAAAUGGCCAAAAAACGGGUGGGCUAUAGCCUUGGUGGGGGGCGUAGGUGAAGUUCGUCCGCCGGACUCGGAAUGGCCCCAGACUUUGCGGGCGGCCUCCGUGUGCCAAAAAUAGGCCACGGGCACAGCCGCGCCCAAAAAUCAGCCCCCGAAGGUCGGGGUGCCAAGACCCCCCAGCGGAAAAAUGGCCAAAAAACGGGUGGGCUAUAGCCUUGGUGGGGGGCGUGGGCGAAGUUCGUCCGCCGGACUCGGAAUGGCCCCAGACUUUGCGGGCGGCCUCCGUGUGCCAAAAAUAGGCCACGGGCACAGCCGCGCCCAAAAAUCAGCCCCCGAAGGUCGGGGUGCCAAGACCCCCCAGCGGAAAAAUGGCCAAAAAAUGGGUGGGCUAUAGCCUUGGUGGGGGGCGUGGGCGAAGUUCGUCCGCCGGACUCGGAAUGGCCCCAGACUUUGCGGGCGGCCUCCGUGUGCCAAAAAUAGGCCACGGGCACAGCCGCGCCCAAAAAUCAGCCCCCGAAGGACGGGGUGCCAAGACCCCCCAGCGGAAAAAUGGCCAAAAAACGGGUGGGCUAUAGCCUUGGUGGGGGGCGUGGGCGAAGUUCGUCCGCCGGACUCGGAAUGGCCCCAGACUUUGCGGGCGGCCUCCGUGUGCCAAAAAUAGGCCAUGGGCACAGCCGCGCCCAAAAAUCAGCCCCCGAAGGUCGGGGUGCCAAGACCCCCCAGCGGAAAAAUGGCCAAAAAACGGGUGGGCUAUAGCCUUGGUGGGGGGCGUGGACGAAGUUCGUCCGCCGGACUCGGAAUGGCCCCAGACUUUGCCGCGCCCAAAAAUCAGCCCCCGAAGGUCGGGGUGCCAAGACCCCCCGGCGGAAAAAUGGCCAAAAAACGGGUGGGCUAUAGCCUUGGUGGGGGGCGUGGGCGAAGUUCGUCCGCCGGACUUGGAAUGGCCCCAGACUUUGCGGGCGGCCUCCGUGUGCCAAAAAUAGGCCACGGGCACAGCCGCGUCCAAAAAUCAGCCCCCGAAGGUCGGGGUGCCAAGACCCCCCCAGCGGAAAAAUGGCCUAAAAACGGGUGGGCUAUAGCCUUGGUGGGGGGCGUGGGCGAAGUUCGUCCGCCGGACUCGGAAUGGCCCCAGACAUUGCGGGCGGCCUCCGUGUGCCAAAAAUAGGCCACGGGCACAGCCGCGCCCAAAAAUCAGCCCCCGAAGGUCGGGGUGCCGAGACCCCCCAGCGGAAAAAUGGCCAAAAAACGGGUGGGCUAUAGCCUUGGUGGGGGGCGUGGGCGAAGUUCGUCCGCCGGACUCGGAAUGGCCCCAGACUUUGCGGGCGGCCUCCGUGUGCCAAAAAUAGGCCACGGACACAGCCGCGCCCAAAAAUCAGCCCCCGAAGGUCGGGGUGCCAAGACCCCCCAGCGGAAAAAUGGCCAAAAAACGGGUGGGCUAUAGCCUUGGUGGGGGGCGUGGGCGAAGUUCGUCCGCCGGACUCGGAAUGGCCCCAAACUUUGCGGGCGGCCUCCGUGUGCCAAAAAUAGGCCACGGGCACAGCCGCGCCCAAAAAUCAGCCCCCGAAGGUCGGGGUACCAAGACCCCCCAGCGGAAAAAUGGCCAAAAAACGGGUGGGCUAUAGCCUUGGUGGGGGGCGUGGGCGAAGUUCGUCCGCCGGACUCGGAAUGGCCCCAGACUUUGCGGGCGGCCUCCGUGUGCCAAAAAUAGGCCACGGGCAUUGCCGCGCCCAAAAAUCAGCCCCCGAAGGUCGGGGUGCCAAGACCCCCCCAGCGGAAAAAUGGCCUAAAAACGGGUGGGCUAUAGCCUUGGUGGUGGGCGUGGGCGAAGUUCGUCCGCCGGACUCGGAAUGGCCCCAGACUUUGCGGGCGGCCUCCGUGUGCCAAAAAUAGGCCACGGGCACAGCCGCGCCCAAAAAUCAGCCCCCGAAGGUCGGGGUACCAAGACCCCCCAGCGGAAAAAUGGCCAAAAAACGGGUGGGCUAUAGCCUUGGUGGGGGGCGUGGGCGAAGUUCGUCCGCCGGACUCGGAAUGGCCCCAGACUUUGCGGGCGGCCUCCGUGUGCCAAAAAUAGGCCACGGGCACAGCCGCGCCCAAAAAUCAGCCCCCGAAGGUCGGGGUGCCAAGACCCCCCAGCGGAAAAAUGGCCAAAAAACGGGUGGGCUAUAGCCUUGGUGGGGGGCGUGGGCGAAGUUCGUCCGCCGGACUCGGAAUGGCCCCAGACUUUGCGGGCGGCCUCCGUGUGCCAAAAAUAGGCCACGGGCACAGCCGCGCCCAAAAAUCAGCCCCCGAAGGUCGGGGUGCCAAGACCCCCCAGCGGAAAAAUGGCCAAAAAACGGGUGGGCUAUAGCCUUGGUGGGGGGCGUGGGCGAAGUUCGUCCGCCGGACUCGGAAUGGCCCCAGACUUUGCGGGCGGCCUCCGUGUGCCAAAAAUAGGCCACGGGCACAGCCGCGCACAAAAAUCAGCCCCCGAAGGUCGGGGUGCCGAGACCCCCCAGCGGAAAAAUGGCCAAAAAACGGAUGGGCUAUAGCCUUGGUGGGGGGCGUGGGCGAAGUUCGUCCGCCGGACUCGGAAUGGCCCCAGACUUUGCGGGCGGCCUCGGUAUGCCAAAAAUAGGCCACGGGCACAGCCGCGCACAAAAAUCAGCCCCCGAAGGUCGGGGUGCCAAGAUCCCCCUGCGGAAAAAUGGCCAAAAAAUGGGUGGGCUAUGGCCUUGGUGGGGGGCGUGGGCGAAGUUCGUCCGCCGGACUCGGAAUGGCCCCAGACUUUGCGGGCGGCCUCCGUGUGCCAAAAAUAGGCCACGGGCGCAGCCGCGCCCAAAAAUCAGCCCCCGAAGGUCGGGGUGCCAAGACCCCCCAGCGGAAAAAUGGCCUAAAAACGGGUGGGCUAUAGCCUUGGUGGGGGGCGUGGGCGAAGUUCGUUCGUCGGACUCGGAAUGGCCCCAGACUUUGCGGGCGGCCUCCGUGAGCCAAAAAUAGGCCACGGGCACAGCCGCGCCCAAAAAUCAGCCCCCGAAGGUCGGGGUGCCAAGACCCCCCCGGCGGAAAAAUGGCCUAAAAACGGGUGGGCUAUAGCCUUGGUGGGGGGCGUGGGCGAAGUUCGUCCGCCGGACUCGGAAUGGCCCCAGACUUUGCGGGCGGCCUCCGUGUGCCAAAAAUAGGCCACGGGNNN
RNAcentral lists this long non-coding RNA (3788 nucleotides) under Citrus x clementina. Its description in RNAcentral is "Citrus clementina (C. clementina) long non-coding RNA (CCLE_LNC006317)". The record is from RNAcentral. Lineage: Eukaryota; Viridiplantae; Streptophyta; Magnoliopsida; Sapindales; Rutaceae.